This 107-nucleotide small nuclear RNA is filed under the name Carlito syrichta (Philippine tarsier). Lineage: Eukaryota; Metazoa; Chordata; Mammalia; Primates; Tarsiidae. The record is from RNAcentral.
AUGCUCACUUCAACAGCACAUAUACUAAAAUUGAAAUGAUAUGGAGAAAAUUAGCAUGGCCCCUGUACAAAGAUGACAUGCAAAUUCAUGAAGCAUUCCAUAUUUUA